RNAcentral lists this ribosomal RNA (253 nucleotides) under uncultured bacterium. RNAcentral's name for it is "partial 16S ribosomal RNA". It matches the Rfam family "Bacterial small subunit ribosomal RNA", at positions 524 to 776 of the family's 1533-position model. The record is from RNAcentral.
UACGAAGGGGGCUAGCGUUGCUCGGAAUCACUGGGCGUAAAGCGCACGUAGGCGGCUUACUAAGUCAGGGGUGAAAUCCUGGAGCUCAACUCCAGAACUGCCUUUGAUACUGGUGAGCUUGAGUCCGGAAGAGGUGAGUGGAACUGCGAGUGUAGAGGUGAAAUUCGUAGAUAUCUGGAGGAACACCGGUGGCGAAGGCGGCAUCCUGGACCGGCAUUGACGCUGAGGCGCGAAAGCGUGGGGAGCAAACAGG